This 5733-nucleotide unclassified non-coding RNA is filed under the name Haliotis rubra (blacklip abalone). RNAcentral describes it as "cAMP-dependent protein kinase regulatory subunit, transcript variant X1". The record is from RNAcentral. Lineage: Eukaryota; Metazoa; Mollusca; Gastropoda; Lepetellida; Haliotidae.
CUACACUGGAGUCGCUGAGGCAUGAGACAGUGUUGUCAACUCCUCAUCCAAUAUACUGUGAAACUUUCUGUCUCACUCUCAUCGUGCUCGCAGUAGGUUGCUUGUUGUGGUGGUGGAGGAUUGGAAAGUGAGGCGAGAUGGACAAUGAUACUAUGCUCUCACUAUGAAUGAUCCUACCUCAGCAAGCUGAUCCAGUCGAAUUUAAUUGCAUGUGAUUCCCGUUAACAUCCAAAUCUGCAACUUGACGGGUAGCUAUUGAUUUCUGUGGACUCCAGCUUGUUAUUGCUGCACCGAGUUGUCUUCCUUACUUGGAUAACCACGGUCAUAUUUGUGAGAGUCGGAGAGACCGCCCGCUUCAUUAAUUAUUCAGGCCAUUACCUUAUCGUGGACUCCAGUAUUCCUCUGGUCUGAUCCAGCACUGUCCCCAGCGUGGUCCAGUUGGACAUUACUCUCUCUUGUCAUAGCCCUGGUGAACAAUUGGAUUUCAUAGCAGACAUCGACAUGUGGAUAACAUUCAAUUGAGAUAUAGUUUGGGAUGUACUGUUCUGUAGCUAGUUAGUGUAUGUGUUUGUGUGUUUUUGUGCAUUCCUAGGAGGGAUUUAUCCUAUCUUCCAAAUUGUGCAAUGGGUAACAAAUUACGUAAGCUGAAGAAUGAGUUGGUGGGAGGGGAUGAUACGGAAGCAGACGGCAACAACUUAGGGCCUAGUUCGGAGGCUCCUGCUGCCCAGUCUGCUCCCCCAGAGACAACUGGAACAGUGGAUGAUAAAAUUGAAGCUCCUGAAAGUGCUACCUGUAAGACUUCAACUGUUGUUAAACCUGUUGAAACAUCCUUGGAAAAACCUGCACCAACUACGACAGAAACUACAUCUCCCACCCCCACCCCUGCACCAACUCAAACUGUUAAUGAAACUACCGAGAGCCCAGAACAUGUGCAGGCUAAAGUAUCAGCCCAGGAUCCAAAGGAACAGGUGAAAGAGAAGCAGAAGUCGGCCACGCCCCCGAGUGAUGAGAAAGAUGAUGACAUGUCUAGCACACCCCCACAUCCCGCCAUGACGAAGCGGGCGAGGCGUGACGCAGUCAGCGCCGAGGUCUACAAAGAAGAAGAUGCUGCUCAGUAUGUCAAAAAGGUUGUACCCAAAGACUACAAAACAAUGGCGGCUCUGUCAAAAGCCAUCUCAAAAAACGUCCUGUUCUGUCAUCUGGAUGAUAACGAACGAAGUGAUAUUUUUGACGCCAUGUUUCCAGUCCACCGGCAUGCAGGAGAGGUGAUCAUCCAGCAAGGUGAUGAAGGCGACAACUUCUAUGUGCUUGAUCAAGGAGAGGUUGAUAUCUAUGUCAACAGCGAGCAUGUAACAACAAUAGGUGAGGGUGGUAGUUUCGGGGAGCUGGCCCUCAUCUAUGGAACACCCAGAGCAGCUACAGUCAAGGCCAAGAGUGAUGUGAAACUGUGGGGAAUAGACCGGGACAGCUACAGGAGGAUCCUCAUGGGAAGUACAAUCAGGAAAAGGAAGAUGUAUGAAGAAUUUCUUGGGAAAGUAUCAAUUCUUGAGAACCUGGACAAGUGGGAGCGUCUCACAGUCGCAGACGCCCUGGAGCCCGUCAUGUUCGAGGACGGAGAAGAAAUUGUACGGCAAGGGGAGCCAGGAGAAGACUUCUUCAUCAUUUUGGAGGGUCAGGCUGCGGUCUUACAAAGAAGAUCGGACAACGAAGAGCCAGUAGAAGUGGGCAGACUUGGGACAUCCGACUACUUCGGUGAGAUUGCUCUGUUACUGGACCGACCCAGAGCAGCAACCGUUGUCUCUCGAGGCCCUCUCAAAUGUGUCAAAAUGGAUCGUGGGCGCUUUGAGCGUGUCCUUGGACCCUGUGCCGACAUCCUGAAAAGAAAUAUCUCUCAGUACAACAGCUUCGUAUCUCUGUCAGUCUGAGGGCAGAGGUCACAGAUGCAUGCUGGGAUCUGUGUGUCGCUUCUGCGUCCCCAUCAGGCCGUUUUGCCGCCGUCUUGAAACGGUGGAACCAUGUACUAACAUUGAUGACUCGUCUCGUGUACUUAAACUCUCCUUUAAGACAGAUUGUUCCAUAAGGAACAGUGGUUAUGUGUUUUGGCCGAAGUGUUACAUUCUAAACGUGAUGGACUCCAGACUGCAGUUUUAUACCAAUGAUAUUAAUUCCAAAGAAUCCUACAAUAGUUACUGAUGUACUUCAGGAAACCUUUGGUCCUUGAUUACACUUUCUUUCAUCUGUUAUCUUUCAGUACUAUUUGUUGAAUGGUCAAAACCAAAUCUUUGUAUACUGUCUUUUUCCCAAUUCCAUUUCUACUAAACACCUGGCCAAUGAAAAGUCUUCUUUGCAUGGAAGGUAAAUUUUGAAAAGAGAAGUCUGCACACUGUCAGUACAAGUGGUUUUGAAUGAUUUGUCACAAUCAUGCAAUGUUUCGGAUUGCUUGGAUGGAGCACAGCCACCUCAGGGGUUAGAGUCUGGGUUUGAAUCUCAGCAAGGAUCUGCUUAUAAUCAAAUAUAUAAAGUAAUAAAUAUGAAAUUGUUUAUUAAAAAGAAUAUUUCUUAGAGGUUUUCCUUUAAGGGAGAUAAAUGUUCUUGGCCAGGUGUGAAAUAUGACAUCAGUUGUAAACCAGCAGCGGAGCAAGCAUACACAAUCAGUAAUAAUUUUCAUUAUAUGGGCAGCAGAGUUGCUUUUAGUUAUUGUACUCAAGUAUUAAUUUCAUGGUAAUGUUUGUAAUCAGAAACCCUGCUUGUCUUGUGUUUAUAGUGUGAAAUGCCAGCAUGAUCCAAAACUGUCAACCCGAUGUAGAUACAAAAUAUCUCCAAACCUCUUCCAAACAAUCAUGAUUUGUCCAAAUAGUGGUAACCACAUUUUAUCAAUAAAAAAAAGAGGGUAUUUAUUUGUUUUGCUGCUUCUAAUAUUUCAUAAAAUAUAUGAUAUAUCUUGUGAGUACGGGUUGUUAUGAAGGGAAAAACAAAAUAGAAAUUAAAACCAUGGCAGCUCCGUUAGGUAUGUCUCAGUUUGAUAUUGAAGUUAGUCUGUUGUGAAGGGUACCUGGUGAUGAACAAGCUAACACUGUCAGGAACUGGACACCACCACUGUCAUGGCGAUGGAUUGAACUACCACAUUACCCUACCAGUUGUGUUGUAUACCAGCUGUAAUAUGGCCUUACAUUUUUUACUAGGUUUACUGUUACAGCAACCUUGAAAAUAUUCAGAAAAAACAUACCUGAGAAUAACAAUUUAUUUUUGUAUUGGGAUGGUAAAGAUUUGCUUUGACAAUGAAAUUCUGCUGUCAGAUUUGAGAUUUGUAAUGUUCAUAAGGACCCAAACCUACGAAUCCAAAUGUGAUUAUAAAAUUGUUUGCAAACUGAAGGAAAAUUGUCUGUGCUUAAGGUUUAGAUCCCUGUGAAACUAACUGACAAAAUUACAAUUUAGAACAAAUUGUGAGUUUACUGAGCUAUAGUUCCAUCUGUCAUCAGUUCUGGGUCUCAGAACGCCAGACUCUUGGGUCACAUGAAUAGUACUCAUUUAAGUCCAUUUUGAAUUCCCACGCAAGGCCCAAUAAAGUAUAGUCCAGGUGUCCUUGGUCAUGCCAGCUACUGGCAGCUGGAGUCCAGGUAUCUGUGUAGGCAUCCAGGUACUGGGAGCUGGUGUCCAGGUACUGGCAGCUGGAAUCUAGGUACUCUGUGUAAGCGUCCAGGUACUCUGUGUAGAAGUGGGGUGACACUGUGGUAUUUUGUGUAUUGCUGUAAGAACAUGGCAUUAAUUGUACAAAUAUGACCCAAAUGAACCAGAUAUUGAACCAGAGACUUUAGCUGUGCUGCAAAAGAAUUGUUGGACUUAUUUUCAAGGUCUGGAUGGAGAAAUUAUGUCGACUAGUAUCUUGGCUUUUAUCUAUAUAUAAAUAUAUAAAAAGUAAAAUCUGAUAUUCCUAGUGUUGUAGCAGAUUCAGUAUUUGAGCCAGUACUUUAUUCCAAAAUAGGUCGUGAGUGAAAUGUUGCUACGCAACUAUAGUAAAUAUUGUUUAUCAGGCUGAAUCAGGAGCACUUGUAACAGGUCAAUUUGCUGCCUUGUGUAUUUAUUUUGUUAUUUAUUUUAUGUAGACGAGAUAUUAAACCACUUGUUUUCAAACUAGUCAUAGUUUGGUGUAUAGAAUAAAGCUGUUCUAGGUGGAUGAUAGUCAUUGGUUGUCAUGGUAACCUUGUUAUAUGAAAUGAUCAUGUUAUUCUUUUCAGUCCAUCUGUGAAUAUCAUAUUUCAGCUGCAAUAUUAAUUUUCAAAUAAUUACAGUUAUUGUAUACAUGUCAGGGAGAAGAUCAGUUCCAUAUUAAUGUUGAUGUGCUCCAAGCUGCUUCAAGCACACAUAUGCUGACAAGUGUAUAUAGAUAUACCACAAUGUACAGAUACAUGCGUAACUGCCACCACUUUUAGUCAGCUAUAAAAAUUCCCAUAUUUGGGAAAUGUGUUUGUUAUAAAUUUUGUAAAAACCUUGAAUUUUUGUUAAUUACAGGUCAUAUUUUGUUAUUGCUGUUUCUAAAGAAAGAACUUAUUUUGAAAAUUGCAAUACAUGUACAUGACAAACCAAUUCCUAGCUUUCAUAAUGCUUGGUGUAUAGGAAAAUAUUACAGGCCGUUUGAUAUUUCAAACAUUGAGUGUAGCACAUGUAUUCAAACGGAAGGCUUGGUAGCAAUCAUGGUCAGUCCAGGUACUUGUAUUCAUGGCAUAUUUUGCUUAUAUAGCUGGAUAUCUCGUAAUCUUUCAUGUCAGAACUUUUGUCUUUAAAUAUGGUUAUCUUGAACAGAUCUCACAUUAUUUCAACAUAAAUGGGCCAAAUAUUCUGAAAAGGGGGAUAGUUUAACCAUGUGUAUCUUCUGUCUUGGAGGUGUUGGGGUAGCUCAGAUCCUUUGUUACAUUUUGUUAUGAAUUUUAUUAGUACUUUACUACAUCUUCUUUUUUUAAAAAUGUAAACAAUUGCGUUAUGCACAGAAACCGCUAUUCAACUAGAAGUGUUGACAAUAGCCUCAAGUAGGACAAUAGGGCUCUACAAAGAAGUCAGCUGUAUUCAAGAGAUCACUCAUUGUUUGUUUUAUCUGUGAUGACACUGUAUAUAUACUACCCAAAGGAAAUUAAGGAACAUCCUAUUUUUUCAUAUGACUAUAGUGAAUGCAUCAUGGCUGGUUGACACUGCAACCAUAGCCUUCCAAUUAUAGGUGUUGUUUAAUUUGUUUUGAGUCAUAAUGGAGACCUUGGCCUCCAGAAGGGUUUGUAUAUUUUAAAAUGUCAUCAUACACAAGAAUAGAAUAUAGAUUUUAGUCUCGCUCCGCCUCGGCCCCGCCCUUCUUCCCCACCCCCUUCUGCUGACUGUGAACAUACAGCUGUGUGCAUGUACGUAUGUGUUAACCAUGUGGCCCCAACCCUGGAUAGGCCAGACAGUAUGUGUGGCCCUAACCCAGGAUAGGCCAGACAGUAUUUGUUAUCUAACAGAGUGGAUAUGUUUAUGUGCUUUGCUGGCAACUAACCAUUGUAUGAUGACUUUAGAUAGCUGAGACCUGUUGUAGUUGUAGCCAAUCACAGGGCUGGUUAGAUCUGUUUUAACCAAUCAGGUUGGCCAAUAUGUACAACGUUUGGUUCAGGUUAAACAGGUGUAUUUUACAAGUGUCACAGAUCGUUGUUCUGUAUAGAUCAAACCAAGCUAAAACAACAUACCUGAAUAAAUGAUAAUUUAUGCCCUGUU